UACAGAGGUCUCAAGCGUUGUUCGGAUUCAUUGGGCGUAAAGGGUGCGUAGGUGGCGCUGUCAGUCGGGUGUGAAAUUUCGGAGCUUAACUCCGAAACUGCAUUCGAUACUGCGGUGCUUGAGGACUGGAGAGGAGACUGGAAUUCAUGGUGUAGCAGUGAAAUGCGUAGAGAUCAUGAGGAAGACCAGUGGCGAAGGCGGGUCUCUGGACAGUUCCUGACACUGAGGCACGAAGGCCAGGGGAGCAAACGGG
Molecule: ribosomal RNA, 253 nt
Filed under: uncultured bacterium
Lineage: Bacteria
Description: partial 16S ribosomal RNA
Rfam family: Bacterial small subunit ribosomal RNA
Source: RNAcentral